This 5098-nucleotide long non-coding RNA is filed under the name Olea europaea subsp. europaea. The record is from RNAcentral. Lineage: Eukaryota; Viridiplantae; Streptophyta; Magnoliopsida; Lamiales; Oleaceae.
CGAGGAGCAAUUGCAAAAUACAUAUGCAUGUUACUUAUCCACAUCUACUGGUCCAGUAAUGGGUGUUUUAUACAUCUCUUCUGCUAAGCUUGCAUUUUGUAGUGAUAAUCCUCUUUCAUAUAAAGCCGGUGACAAGACUGAAUGGAGCCAUUAUAAGGUACGUACUAUGUUCUCUCUAGAAAGGGCUUUUUACAUGUGUUUAUGUUCCUUUUCUUUCAUUGGGACAAGUAAUUUAUUUUUGAGCUAUGAAGUCUUCAUCCUGUCAUUUCAUGAUAUAGUAUACAUUAACAUACGAAAAUUUGCUAUGGGUUGCAAUUACUUGUAUCUUGAUUUGUUGAAUAUAGAUGCAACUGGCUUAAUUGUCCUCGAUCUAAACUUUAGAGAUUUGUGCUGACAAUAACGAGAAGAUUUUAUUCUUUGUCUUUUGUAUUUUAUACAAUUCUUUGCGUAAAAUUAGAACCAUUUUAAAAGAAAAAUCUAGCUAAAAUUACUAUUGGCGUGGGAGUGUAGUAAUUUGACAAAGAACAAGAAAAUGAAUAUAUGAAAGAAAAGAAAUUAGGGCCAAGAAGAAAUCAAUUUAUUCAUAUAUUCAAGGGUGCAUAUUACAAUGAAUAAGCACUCUAUAUAGUGCAACUGAUCCAAAAUCAAUAGAAUUUGUAAUAAACUAGCAUUUUGUCAAAAAUUAAAAAUAACCUAAUCUAAUUUAUCACCUGUUUGGCCCACAUUAUUCCACAUUAUAAUGAAUGGAAUAGUAAUUUUUUGGAAAAUGUGUGGUUGAAAAAGAAGUAAAAGUUUUUUGAUUUUACGUGAAAUAUUAUUUUAUUAGAAAAUAUGUUGUUGAUAAGAAUAGAGAAAAAUAAGUUAUAAUUAAAUGGGGAAUAAUGGGGGCCAAAUGGGGGCUUAAAAAACUAUAAUUUAAGUUAAACUCUUUUUUAAAAUCUUAUUGAAAUCAUAUCUUUACCCUAUCUCUAUCUUCAUCAUUUCUCUUUGACUGAGAGAACUCGAUUUUGACAAGGUAGACUAGAACUUCAUACUCUAAAGAAGACGAUCUUUUAUCUUGGCCAAUUGUUUGAAUUGAAUCCUUGACAUACCGAACUCAUACCAAGGAGACGAUCUUUUUUAUGAACCAAAAAAUAAAAAAAUAAAAAAAUCCAACAUAAAAAAUAGAAAUUGGUACCUCACAAAGCUAAAAUGAGCCAAACAGUGUCUAAGUAUCUAUUUAUAUUGAAUUAUCUUUAGUUAUUGAUUCAAUCAACAUGAACACAAUCGAUCCUGCAAACAUUAGCAAAAAAGGUUUUAACUUUUUUUGGAUGAAUGGUACUUGUGAACAAUAACGAUGAACAUUUGUUUCGAUAUAAAAAAAAAUGGAAAAACUCGAAUGGAACAUAAAUUUGUUGCCAAAACAUUUGUCUUGGAGUUUCCGGCUACAGGAUCUGGUUAGAGUUUUGAUUUGAUUAUGAUGAUUGUGAUGGGUUGUGGUUUUGUGAGUAGUGGGCUUGGGUGUGGGCUGUUGAGGUUUGGUUUAGUGUUGUGGUGCUGGAUUUGGUACUAGGCUUGUUUAUAUGGGUAGUUAGAAUUGGGUUAUGGCAUAGAUAGGCUUGGGUAGUGGAUCGGAUUGAUUUCUGGGCUGGCUUAUUUGGGGCUUUAUUGAACAAAUGGGCAGCAGCAAUUAUAAAAGCAGGGGACAAAAAGAAAUUGAUUUUGUUUUCCUGGAUUUUUUUGGAAACUAAACGUGAAAAGGAAAAAUUGGGAACAACUUUUACUACUGCCUGAUUGUUCUGCUCCUGGAUUCGUGUUUUAUGGUGGUUUGGUUAUUCGGUGUAUGGCUUGGAUAGAAACAGCUGGUUGUUUAAAGUUUGUGGAUUUGAAAUGAAAGAUGUUAGGCCAAAGGAGAACGACUUGUUCUAAUACCAAAUUGAAGCAUGGGCAUGGUAAUUUGACAAAGAACAAGAAAAUGAACUGGAAAAGAAAGAAAUCAAAGAAGAGAAGAAAAUAGCUCAAAGAAGAAAUCAAUUUAUUUAUAUAUGUGUGUAUUACAAUGAAUAAGCCCUCUAUAUAUAGAGCAAUUAAUCUAAAAUUAGUAGAAUUUAUAAUAAACUACAACUUUGUCAAAAUAUUAAAACUAACGUAAUCUAAUUUAAACAAAUAUAAUUAAAAUUAAACUCUAUUCUAAAAUCAUAUUUAAAAGGAAUUGAAUAACUUGUGACAAAUAUUAUUAUUAUUAUUAUUAUUAUUAUUAUUAUUAUUAUUAUUAUUAUUAUUAUUAUGUGCGCACUCGCAUAUAUCCAUCUCUAUCUCUUGCUGAAAGGCAAUAGAAAGUUAUACUACCAUCUUUGAGGAUGCUGUUGAUGCAAGCAUUGAAGUUUUGGGGCAAGUAAAUGUAAUAUUGUUGCGGUUGUGAUAGUAGAUUGAUUGUUGAUAUUCACUUAUCACUGUAAUUGUACCCAAAUUUUAUGAAUACCCAUUUCUCUUUGGUUUAUUUGCUCCAUGAAGGAAUCAGGAUCCAAGUUAAUGAUGUCAAGUCUCUCUCACGUUUUCAAAGUCAGAAAGGACUUUCAAUAGUUUAGACUUUAGAUGCAAAUACCUUCUGGAACAACCAUUCAUUUUGAAAUCUUUGCGUAUCUCACUUCUAAUUUUAGAUAUCUUGAAUCUCGAUUUGUCAUUUUAACUAAAUAGUAUGUAAAGCUAAUGUUUUGUGGCCCUAAAGUUAUGAUAAAUAUAGUAAAAUUUAAGAGAAAUAGUUCCAUUCAACUUCUUACCUUUCAAUUUCAUUACAUUGUAUUAAUUUUAUGCUUUUAGCUGAUCUCAAAUUCAUUGAGAUCAAGGAUAAGAGCUGUCUCUUAUACACAUUUNAUUAUUAUUAUUAUUAUUAUUAUUAUUAUUAUUAUUAUUGCAUAUGGAGAGAACGGAAUGAUCGAUGUUUCGAAGACCAAACAAAGACAACAGAGCAGAUAAGAGAAUUAUUUUACUUGACUUUGUAUACUUGGUUUAAUGCAGUGGCUAAAAAUCCUGUUGUAUGGUUGCCUAAUUUCUUGUUGUUCUUUUCAUGCUUAAAGUGAUUGUAUACCUCCCGCGUUCUCUCUUUUAAGGAAUAAAAUUCUAUGAUUACUUAUCAAAAAAAAUAAUUUAUUAUUAUUAUUAUUAUUAUUAUUAUUAUUAUGUAAUUGAUGUGCGCACUCGCAUAUAUCCAUCUCUAUCUCUUGCUGAAAGGCAAUAGAAAGUUAUACUACCAUCUUUGAGGAUGCUGUUGAUGCGAGCAUUGAAGUUUUGGGGCAAGUAAAUGUAAUAUUGUUGCGGUUGUGAUAGUAGAUUGAUUGUUGAUAUUCACUUAUCAGUGUAAUUGUACCCAAAUUUUAUGAAUACCCAUUUCUCUUUGGUUUAUUUGCUCCAUGAAGGAAUUAGGAUCCCAGUUAAUGAUGUCAAGUCUCUCUCUCACUUUUUCAAAGUCAGAAAGGACUUUCAAUAGUUUAGAUGCAAAUACCUUCUGGAACAACCAUUCAUUUUGAAAUCUUUGCGUAUCUCACUUCUAAUUUUAGAUAUCUGGAAUCUUGGUUUGUCAUUUUAACUGAAUAGUAUGCAAAGCUAAUGUUUUGUGGCCCUAGAGUUACGAUAAAUAUAGUAAAAUUUAAGAGAAAUAGUUCCAUUCAACUUCUUACCUUUCAAUUUCAUUACAUUGUAUUAAUUUUAUGCUUUUAGCUGAUCUCAAAUUCAUUGAGAUCAAGGAUAAGAGAAGGCCUACGAGAAGGAUAUGUACUCCCGGUUCAUAUCCAAAUGUGUUCUGAUGGAUAAGAUCCAUUCCUGACAAAGGAAAUGAAUAGAAAAGUCAAAUAACUAUGAAAAAUUAAUUAUUGUCUUGAAAAUUUGUGAUAAAAUGGUGGUGCUCCAUUAAAUUUCAGAAGGUUUUAAGUUUUAUAUAUAAAUAUUUUUGACUCGGCAAUUUAUGGUGACCUCUUAAACACCAAUUUCAAGGGAGCAACCAGCAUUUAAGUUGUCUUCUUUUCCAACUCGAUUCUUUUCUUGUUUCUUGUAUGAACUCUUUAGGGACAUUAGUGAGGUAGUUUGGUUAUCUACUUAUUUUGCUAUCUGUGUUGUAUGGACACUUCAACUGGGAUAGCAUGUGCGCAUCCGACUUGUGUCAGAUACGACACUCUUCUGAUAUUCUAUCAUGGUCAUUCUUUUUUCUUUAUUUGCAAUGUUAUAUUUAUAACUCAAAUUUAUUAAUAAAAAUNUACUCACAAUCAGAUCCUGAGCAUUAGGCUAAUUUAUAGAUAUUUGAGAACAUAGAAGUUUCUUUCACCAUUGACUCUUGACUUCUAACACCUGUAAUUGCCAAGCUGCCCGUUUUUCUUUUCUGGUACCAAUUAUUUAUAUCUUUUAUGAAUCAUGCAGUGUUUGCUGAUAUAUCUUUGUUACAAUUAUUAUGAACAGGUAGUUAUCCUAUUACAUCAACUCAAAGCCAUUAAUCCUUCAUCAAGCAGAACCUCAGCUGAAAAGUACAUCCAGUUUAUAUCUGUUGAUAACCUUGAAUUUUGGUAUAUGGGCUUCUUGAAUUAUGGUGGGGCGGUGAAGUGUCUGCAAGAUGCCUUGCAAGUGCGCAACUUGUCAUCCAUCUAAAGUUGAACCCAGGUUCAAGUUUUACUUUAGAUCAAAGGACGAGCUCCUUAAUUCAUAUUAUUAGAAGAUUUGAUGCUCUUGGAAAAAAAACAUAAAAACUGAGCACGACUUUUAGACAAUUGAAAUGCACAUUUGCCAUCUUUGAGAUAUCCUCUGGUUUUUCACAUUAAAGUUAUUACUAUUUUUUUGAAGACAUUUUGUGUGGGAGAGAGCAAGUUCCCCUCAUUGUACUAUGAUUAGCCAAUAGGGCUAAGUAGUUUAAAGUUUUAAUGACUAUUCUUUAUCGUCCUUUAGUAUUCCUUGCAUUUGCCAGUUUUCUGAGGAAGUUUGCUUUAUUUCUUUAAGCUUAUGGAGUUUAUGUCUAUGUUUUCACAAAUAUCAAAAUUUGAGGAAGUUUGCAAAAAUCAUGUCAUGAUUCACAAUGGUUAAAUAAUAAUUGCAAGGGCUAUUAUAUUUGGAUCAAAUGCCUAAACGCUAUUAGAGG